GCAGGCAGAUAUUUCUUUUACUGCCACCGAAUACAUUAGCAUGGGAUAAUGGAAUAGGACCCUGUCCUUCAUGUUUCGCGUUGGUUGUGUGUUAAGUGCGCGCGCAAGCGCGUGGCUGACACAUGGGGUUCGUCUAAAGGAGGACCAGGGUAAUGAUUAAUAGGGAUAGUUGGGGGCAUUAAUAUUUAAUUGUCAAAGGUGAAAUUCUUGGAUUUAUGAAAGAUUAACUUCUGCGAAAGCAUCUGCCAAGGAUGUUUUCAUUAAUCAAGAACGAAAGUUAGGGGAUCGAAAACGAUUAAAUACCGUCGUAGUCUUAACCAUAAACCAUGCCGACCAGCGAUUGGGAAACGUUUCACACGGAAGUGGUGCCGGGGGGGGCCCCUCCUUUUGUUCCGAAAAAAAGGGCCAACAAAACCCCCUUUCGUUUGGUUUCCUUCAACGAAGGGUUCCCUCCCC
Molecule: ribosomal RNA, 456 nt
Filed under: Acanthamoeba sp.
Lineage: Eukaryota; Discosea; Longamoebia; Acanthamoebidae
Description: SSU rRNA
Rfam family: Eukaryotic small subunit ribosomal RNA
Source: RNAcentral